This 492-nucleotide ribosomal RNA is filed under the name uncultured bacterium. RNAcentral describes it as "partial 16S ribosomal RNA". It matches the Rfam family "Bacterial small subunit ribosomal RNA", at positions 29 to 507 of the family's 1533-position model. The record is from RNAcentral.
AGUGAACGCUGGCGGUAGGCCUAACACAUGCAAGUCGAACGGCAGCACAGUAAGAGCUUGCUCUUACGGGUGGCGAGUGGCGGACGGGUGAGGAAUACAUCGGAAUCUACUUUUUCGUGGGGGAUAACGUAGGGAAACUUACGCUAAUACCGCAUACUACCUACGGGUGAAAGCAGAGGAUCUUCGGACCUUGCGCGAUUGAAUGAGCCGAUGUCGGAUUAGCUAGUUGGCGGGGUAAAGGCCCACCAAGGCGACGAUCCGUAGCUGGUCUGAGAGGAUGAUCAGCCACACUGGAACUGAGACACGGUCCAGACUCCUACGGGAGGCAGCAGUGGGGAAUAUUGGACAAUGGGCGCAAGCCUGAUGCAGCCAUACCGCGUGGGUGAAGAAGGCCUUCGGGUUGUAAAGCCCUUUUGUUGGGAAAGAAAAGCAGCAGGUUAAUACCCCGCUGUUCUGACGGUACCCAAAGAAUAAGCACCGGCUAACUUCGUG